UACGUAGGGACCAAGCGUUGUUCGGAUUUACUGGGCGUAAAGGGCGCGUAGGCGGCAAUUCAAGUCAUCUGUGAAAUCUCCGGGCUUAACUCGGAACGGUCAGAUGAUACUGCUUUGCUAGAGUGCAGAAGGGGCAAUCGGAAUUCUCGGUGUAGCGGUGAAAUGCGUAGAUAUCGAGAGGAACACCAGAGGUGAAGACGGGUUGCUGGGCUGACACUGACGCUGAGGCGCGAAAGCCAGGGGAGCAAACGGG
This 253-nucleotide ribosomal RNA is filed under the name uncultured bacterium. Its description in RNAcentral is "partial 16S ribosomal RNA". It matches the Rfam family "Bacterial small subunit ribosomal RNA", at positions 524 to 776 of the family's 1533-position model. The record is from RNAcentral.